CGAGCGCACAGCUCCGUGAGACUCGACACGAGUGUGUGUGUGUGUGUGUGUGUGAGUGUGAGUGAGCUGUGACACACAGGAGGGAAUGACAUGAACGCUCAUGAGAGGAAGCGAGGAAGAGACCUACGCAGACAGCAAGUGUUCCUGAGAGCCGACAACACACCUGCUGCUGCCCUGCCCUCCCUACAGCGCUGAGUGUGUAUCAGAGCGCCAGAGAAACCAAUGCAGCGGCACACUCAGCUCAGAGACACACACCGCGAUGCAGUACAGGUACGACACACACACACACACACACACACACACACAGACACACCUCUGCUUCAGUAGUUUUCCUCGUGGUGUGUGUCUCUGAUCAUACAUCCAUUUGUAUGUCAUGUUUUCCAUGUCUGUAGAUCAGAAGCUGUCUAAUCAGCUCCGCCCACCGUCAC
Sinocyclocheilus anshuiensis is the source of this 428-nucleotide long non-coding RNA. RefSeq lists it as uncharacterized. NCBI's taxonomy places the organism in Eukaryota, Metazoa, Chordata, Actinopteri, Cypriniformes, Cyprinidae. The transcript has 3 exons. The record is from RefSeq and is a predicted model, not a curated record.